AGAAUCAACGCUGGCGGCGUGCCUAACACAUGCAAGUCGAACGAGAAAGUGGAGCAAUCCAUGAGUAAAGUGGCGACCGGGUGAGUAACACGUGACCAAUCUACCCUUGAGUGGGGGAUAACCUCGGGAAACCGGGGCUAAUACCGCAUAACAUCCUCGGGACGGAAGUACUGGGGAUCAAAGGAGCAAUUCGCUUAAGGAGGAGGUCGCGGCUGAUUAGCUAGUUGGCGGGGUAAUGGCCCACCAAGGCAAAGAUCGGUAGCCGGCCUGAGAGGGCGCACGGCCACACUGGAACUGAAACACGGUCCAGACUCCUACGGGAGGCAGCAGUGGGGAAUUUUGCGCAAUGGGGGAAACCCUGACGCAGCAACGCCGCGUGGAGGAUGAAGUCCCUUGGGACGUAAACUCCUUUCGACCCGGACGAUAAUGACGGUACGGGUGGAAGAAGCCCGGCUAACUUCGCGCCAGCAGCCGC
This 475-nucleotide ribosomal RNA is filed under the name uncultured bacterium. Its description in RNAcentral is "SSU rRNA". It matches the Rfam family "Bacterial small subunit ribosomal RNA", at positions 26 to 518 of the family's 1533-position model. The record is from RNAcentral.